CUUGAAUUAACCAUAAGAGGUCCAGCCUGCCCAGUGACAUUGUUCAACGGCCGCGGUAUUCUAACCGUGCAAAGGUAGCGUAAUCACUUGUCCUUUAAAUGCGGACUAGUAUGAACGGCCACACGAAAGCUAUGCUGUCUCCUUUUUCUAAUCAGUUAAACUAAUCUCCCCGUGAAGAAGCGGGGAUAGUCGUAUAAGACGAGAAGACCCUAUGGAGCUUUAAACAAUCGAAACACUUGUGCCCAUCUUACAAACUUCCGAUAAUCUACACUUAAUUUCACACUUUGUUUCUAGCUUUAGGUUGGGGUGACCACGGAGAAAAAACAAACCUCCACGCUGAAAGAGUUAAUCUCUAAACAAAAAGCCACAUCUUUAAGUAUUAACACAUUAACCUGAAUUGACCCA
Molecule: ribosomal RNA, 405 nt
Filed under: Anomaloglossus surinamensis
Lineage: Eukaryota; Metazoa; Chordata; Amphibia; Anura; Aromobatidae
Also listed under: 1 other name
Description: partial large subunit ribosomal RNA
Rfam family: Bacterial large subunit ribosomal RNA
Source: RNAcentral